RNAcentral lists this long non-coding RNA (6205 nucleotides) under Brassica rapa (field mustard). RNAcentral's name for it is "long non-coding RNA (BRAP_LNC008981)". Lineage: Eukaryota; Viridiplantae; Streptophyta; Magnoliopsida; Brassicales; Brassicaceae. The record is from RNAcentral.
AUCUUCCUGUCCGACCUAGGCAUCUUGCUGAGAGAGACAUACGUCCAGCAGCAGAUCCCAUCCGCCAAUCUACUCCUUUCUCUAUCUUUUGUUUUAGAUUUCAUUCAACCAAUUCCAUAAAAAAACCAAAAGAAUCAUAUCUAGUUUCUGUUCUUGUUCCUGUUGAAAACUCACUAAAGGUUCCUAUCUGUUUCAGGUUCGAACACAAGCAAGAGAUAAGCCGGCCAGUACCAUCCAUCCGAGGCAAGACUGAACCGCGGAACGGCCAUCCGUCCGUCCGUUCGACCCUCCGACCCGUGCCUACAACAUUUUGGUAUCAGAGCUGAAGUUUCCUGCGAAACUCAGUUCUUUCUGAACCCUAGCCGUCGCAAUUCACAAAAAAAUAUUUACUUUCCUUAAGUUUUUCGGAUUGUUCUCCAAGUUUUCGAUUUUUCCAUUUUUUUUUAAAAAAAAACAAAAAGUUAUAUUCACUUUCCUUGUUUUUUUAAAUUUUCGGAUUGUUCUCCAAGUUUUCAAAAAAAAAAAAAAAUAAUAAUAUAUUCUCUCUUUCCUUUUUCAAACCUGAUUCGAUUUUUGUCUUAACUUUUUGCAUUUACUCUUAGACUUGGUCGAUACUCAUAGUAUCCGACCCAAGCAACUAUUUAACCCCCUCUUGCCUUUUAAUCUUUCUUUGAGUUUCUUUUCAGAGAACUAUGGGAGAUGUAGGUCAAGACCAAGCGGCCAUAAACGCUCAGCUCUUAGCUGACAAUGAAGAACUGAGGGCGAGCCUUAGAACUAUCACAGCCGAGCUUGCUCAGCUACGGCAGGGAGGCAGGCCCAACGGACCUCGACCACCAGGAAGGCAUCAGCCGGACCCGCAUGACACUGACUCGGACGCGGACAGUACCGAUGAUACGCGCAGUCAGGACGAGGAGAGGCCAAACCGGGGAGGAAGGAGGAACGCGCGAGGACCCCGGGCCCAAGUAGGAGGAGGCCGUGACCAUAGGGGAGGUCGAGACCGAGAGGAGGAAGAGCCUUGGUUGGGAGGCAAGGCACUUAAGCUUCAUCCCCCAACGUUUGCCGGCAAGGUUGAUCCGGAUGCCUACAUCGUGUGGGAGAAGCGCAUGGAGUACAUCUUCGACUAUUACCAAUAUAGUGAGGCCAAGAAGGUUGCCCUAGCAGCAGCCCAGCUGACGGACAAUGCUCUUUCGUGGUGGGAUCGAGACGUUGCCAAGUCCGGGCCAGUGUGGAGAGCGCGUAAUUGGACCGAGAUGCGGACCAAGCUUCGAGCGAGGUACAUUCCAUCUUACUACCAGCGUGAUGUGCUAAAACGUUUUCGUAAACUUACGCAGGGAACUAAGACUGUGGAGGAGUACUUUGAGGAGUUCGAGGCGCUUAGGAAUAAGCUUGAGACCGACGAGCCCGAGGAGACAAUGAUGUCCCAAUUCCUGGAAGGGCUGCAAGACCGCAUUGCCCGCAAGGUGGAGAGACAACACUAUGAAGACUUCAACGAUCUAUUGCACUUUGCUACGCAAGCCGAGCAGCACAUCAAGCGCAAGACGGCCAGUACCAGCCGCAGCAAACCUGCUUGGACUCAACCGGGUUCAAAGCAAGGCGACAAGGGCAAGACGAUUGAGAUUGAGAGCCGAUUCAAGACAAACCCGGCUGAAUCGUCCAAUGCAUCUAAGCAGGAGCAGGGUAAGACUCAAGCCCAAAACUUGCGUACUCGUGACAUCAUUUGUUAUAAGUGUCAGGGCAAGGGCCACUACGCUCGGGAUUGUCCAAACAAACGAGUGAUGGUCCUAAAGGGGGAUGGCGAGUAUGAAUCCCAAGAUGAGGCAGAGGCUGCGGCAGCAAUCUCUGAUGAGGAAGUAACCGACUACCCGGAGACAGGCGAGCUGCUAGUGACCCGGAGAGCCCUUAGCACCCUCUUUGACCCAGAGACCAUCCAGCGGGAGAACAUCUUCCACACCAGAUGUAGUGUUGAUCACAAGGUAUGUAGUUUGAUCAUAGAUGGCGGAUCUUGUACUAACGUGGCUAGCAAGUAUCUUGUUGAUAAGCUAGGGUUGGUCAAAACUGCCCAUCCUCGACCAUACCGUCUCAAAUGGCUCAAUGAUGAGACUGAGCUCAAGAUUGCCGAACAAGUUGUUGUGUCCUUCAGUAUUGGCAAGUACCACGACCAGGUCAAGUGUGAUGUUGUGCCCAUGCAAGCCGGCCAUAUACUUCUCGGAAGGCCGUGGCAGUUUGACAAGGAGACACUUCACUAUGGCCGCACCAACAUCUACAGUUUCGUCCACAACAACAAGAAGCACAGCCUAGCACCUCUCAGCCCUCAAGAAGUUCAUGAUAUGCAGAAGGCAAUGACGCAGUCCGGCCAGGUAAGUAACACUAACCUUUACAUGACUUCCGGACAAGUGCUUAAAUCAUUACAACGUGAGACACAGGUGCUACUAAUGAUCUUUAAGGAAGGUUGUUUUGCAGGUUUAGAAGCUCCUGAAGUACCGGACGUAGUACAAGACCUCAUGGGACGUUACAAGGAUGUCUUCCCUGAUGAGAUCCCUGCCGGUUUGCCCCCUAUCCGUGGCAUAGAACAUCAGAUCGAUCUUGUACCCGGCGCGCCACUACCAAACCGAGCCGCUUACCGUGUCAACCCUGAGGAAGCUAAGGAGCUGGAACGGCAGGUCCAAGAUCUCAUGGACAAAGGCUACAUCCGCGAGAGCCUUAGCCCCUGUGCAGUCCCGGUCCUACUAGUGCCCAAGAAAGAUGGGACAUGGCGCAUGUGUGUGGACUGCCGAGCCAUCAACAACAUAACCAUCAAAUAUCGGUACCCUAUACCUAGAUUAGAUGAUAUGUUGGAUGAACUGAGUGGGUCUGUUGUGUUUUCCAAGAUUGAUCUCAGGAGUGGAUACCAUCAAGUCCGCAUGAAGUAAGGAGAUGAGUGGAAAACCGCCUUCAAGACCAAGCAAGGUCUAUACGAGUGGCUGGUGAUGCCGUUUGGCCUUACCAACGCCCCUAGCACCUUCAUGAGACUCAUGAAUGAGGUCCUCCGACCUUACAUUGGUAAAUUCGUGGUUGUAUACUUUGAUGAUAUCUUGAUUUACAGCAGGUCUUUAACUGAACACAUGGGACACCUAGAACAGGUUUUGAAAGCCUUAAGGCAAGAAGGCCUUUAUGCUAACCUUAAGAAAUGUGUAUUCUGCACUGAUCAAUUGGUAUUUUUAGGCUUUGUUGUGAGUUCACAGGGACUGAAGGUUGAUGAAGAGAAGAUCAAGGCGAUACAAGACUGGCCGACUCCAACCACGAUCGGACAUAUCCGCAGCUUCCAUGGACUGGCCAGUUUCUAUCGACGAUUUGUGAAGGACUUCAGUACCAUUGCCGCCCCAAUGACCUCCGUGAUCAAGAAGAAUGUAACCUUUGCUUGGGGCCCUGCCCAAGAGGAGUCUUUCAACAGGCUUAAAUAUAGCUUGACACAUGCACCGGUUCUAACUCUUCCUAACUUUGAUAAACCUUUUGAGAUUGAGUGUGAUGCUUCAGGAACAGGAAUAGGAGCCGUGCUGACCCAAGGAGGCCGGCCAGUGGCCUUUUUCAGUGAGAAAUUGAGUGGAGCCGCCCUCAAUUACCCCACCUAUGAUAAAGAGCUAUAUGCUCUAGUAAGGUCGCUUGAAACUUGGCAACAUUAUCUUUUGUCUAAAGAGUUUAUUAUUCAUACAGAUCAUGAGACUCUUAAGCAUUUGAGGGGCCAGACCACACUCAAGAAGAGGCAUGCUAGGUGGCUGGAGUUCGUGGAAACUUUUCCUUAUGUGAUCAAGUACAAGAAGGGAAAGGACAACAUAGUGGCCGACGCCCUAUCCCGGCGCCACACACUCAUUACCACCAUGGAGGCUAAGAUCAUGGGUUUUGAGCAACUCAAAAUGUCUUAUGAAACUGACCCUGAUUUUUCUGAGCUUUACAGUAACACGGCUAAGGGAGCCAUGGGUCCAUUCUAUCAGCAGGACGGAUUCCUCUUCAAGGAGAAGCGCCUGUGUAUCCCUCAUGGUUCCAUGCGAGAUUUACUGACCAGAGAAGCUCAUGGGGGUGGAUUGAUGGGGCAUUUCGGUCGGGACAAGACUCUGAGUGUCCUGUCCGACCACUUCUAUUGGCCCCGGAUGAGGCGCUACGUCGAGAGCCUUUGCUCCAAGUGCACUGUCUGUCUCAAAACCAAAUCCAGGUCGCAUCCUUAUGGUUUACACAUGCCUUUACCUAUUCCUAUUGCACCGUGGGUCGAUCUGUCUAUGGACUUUGUGCUGGGCUUGCCCAAGAUAGAACACAAGGAUUCUAUUUUUGUUGUAGUGGACAGGUUCUCCAAGAUGGCACACUUCAUUCCGUGUUCCAAAACCAAUGACGCAAGCCAAACCGCUGAUCUCUUCUUCAAGGAAGUGGUGCGUUUACAUGGAGUGCCUCGUACCAUCGUGUCCGACCGAGACACAAAAUUUCUCAGCCACUUCUGGAGGACAUUGUGGAAAAAGCUUGGAACCAAGCUCCUUUUCUCGACCACUUGCCAUCCACAGACUGAUGGACAGACCGAGGUAGUAAACCGUACACUCUCUCAGUUAUUGAGGGCUACGGUGGGUAAGAAUCUUAAAAACUGGCUGAGUUGUUUGCCUUUCAUUGAGUUUGCUUAUAAUCAUGCAAGGCACUCUAUUACUAACCUCUCCCCUUUUGAGAUCGUGUACGGCUUUAGACCAGAGACGCCCAUGGACCUAGCCGCAUUGCCCCCAGCCAUGCAAGUCAGCCAGAGUGGUGACAAAAAGGCUGAGUUUGUAAAGAACAUGCACCGGCAAGUCAAGGAGACUUUGGAGAAGAAGGCUGAAAGGAACCGGAUUAAGCUCAACAAGGGGCGCACAGAAGUUAUCUUCCAGCCAGGCGACUGGGUGUGGCUCCACAUGAGGCCAGAACGGUUUCCGGAAGAGAGGAAGAGCAAAUUAUCCCCACGGGGAGAUGGACCAUUCCGAGUGCUCGAUCGGAUCAAUGACAAUGCCUACCGGCUAGAACUGCCAGGUGAGUUCCAAGUUUCCCGAACGUUCAAUGUAUCUGAUUUGUCUCCUUAUAUUGCAGACGAUGGAGAUGUUCUGAGGACAGAACCUGUUCAAGAGGGAGGGGAUGUUGUAGUACCCACGACUGAGGUUCCCAUUAUCCGCAAAGGCCCUACCACAAGGUCCGGUUCAAGAGUUAUAAGAGCUGGAUUUGCCAAAGCUGUCCAGGAGUUGCUUGCACAGGAACAAACCGGGUUCAAGCAACUAUUGAUCCAGGAGUUGUCUGACUUGAAGCUGGAAGACACCGGUGAACCACUAGAGGUUCCAGACCCUGUCCAUUCGAGCCAGUUCUCCUCCAUCGGCCAGAAUGAAGCCGGCCUGACCAUUUCCACCUUCAUACUCAAUCCAUCCAACCAACUUGCUUCCGGUUCAGAGAUAUAGCCGACCAUCAGAAGGAGUAGUAUGUGUUGUACUCUUUUUCCUUAUCGAGGUUUUGUCCCACUGGGUUUUCCCGAAAGGUUUUAAUGAGGCAACAAGCAAGCAUACUAUGAGUUCUGAUCCGGACAUCUCAAACCGCGACCGGUCCAUUGCUUUCUUUAUUUUUAUUUCGGUUAAGACUUUGGCCAUUUGUCUAGGCCUUUUUAAUCUUUAAGUCCAGUAAGGAACAUCUAUUUAAACCCUUGUAGUUGCCAACUUUUCGGCUAAGUCUUUUAUGAAAUCGUUUUUGCUUUAGCAAAGAAACCCUAAGUCUUUCAGUUGUGUGAAACAUUGAGAGCAGCCGUGUGACAUAUCAAAGAGCCGAUCCAUUGUUCUUUGUGGCGUCCUUCGAUCCAUUCCAUUCCUUGUCCGAAUCUUGAGAGAGACAUACGUCCAGCAAGAGCCGGAUCCAUACUUAUCUUCCUGUCCGACCUAGGCAUCUUGCUGAGAGAGACAUACGUCCAGCAGCAGAUCCCAUCCGCCAAUCUACUCCUUUCUCUAUCUUUUGUUUUAGAUUUCAUUCAACCAAUUCCAUAAAAAAACCAAAAGAAUCAUAUCUAGUUUCUGUUCUUGUUCCUGUUGAAAACUCACUAAAGGUUCCUAUCUGUUUCAGGUUCGAACACAAGCAAGAGAUAAGCCGGCCAGUACCAUCCAUCCGAGGCAAGACUGAACCGCGGAACGGCCAUCCGUCCGUCCGUCCGUCCGUCCGUUCGACCCUCCGACCCGUGCCUACAACA